UUUUGGUGCAGUUUUUUUUUCCAACGUUUGAUCGUCUGUUUUAUUUAAUUUUUUUUAUGACUAGUAUUUUUUUUAUUAGAUGAUAAAAAUGAAUAAUACUUUAUGUGUGACUUAUUUUUUAAUUUUUUUAUAAAUUUUUCAAAUAAAACGAAUGAUCGAAAAUGGAAAAAAAAACUGCAUUUAAA
Molecule: microRNA precursor, 185 nt
Filed under: Oryza meridionalis
Lineage: Eukaryota; Viridiplantae; Streptophyta; Magnoliopsida; Poales; Poaceae
Description: MIR812 microRNA precursor family
Rfam family: MIR812 microRNA precursor family
Source: Rfam by way of RNAcentral